This 24-nucleotide non-coding RNA is filed under the name Arabidopsis thaliana (thale cress). Lineage: Eukaryota; Viridiplantae; Streptophyta; Magnoliopsida; Brassicales; Brassicaceae. The record is from RNAcentral.
UAAAAAUUUUCACAGCCCAAACCU